Molecule: transfer RNA, 85 nt
Filed under: Candidatus Fiminaster equi
Lineage: Bacteria; Bacillati; Bacillota; Bacilli
Description: tRNA-Leu
Rfam family: tRNA
About the family: Transfer RNA (tRNA) molecules are approximately 80 nucleotides in length. Their secondary structure includes four short double-helical elements and three loops (D, anti-codon, and T loops). Further hydrogen bonds mediate the characteristic L-shaped molecular structure. tRNAs have two regions of fundamental functional importance: the anti-codon, which is responsible for specific mRNA codon recognition, and the 3' end, to which the tRNAs corresponding amino acid is attached (by aminoacyl-tRNA synthetases). tRNAs cope with the degeneracy of the genetic code in two manners: having more than one tRNA (with a specific anti-codon) for a particular amino acid; and 'wobble' base-pairing, i.e. permitting non-standard base-pairing at the 3rd anti-codon position.
Source: RNAcentral
GCAGUAGUGGCGGAACUGGUAGACGCGUACGUUUGAGGGGCGUAUGGGGCAACUCGUGUGAGUUCAAGUCUCACUUACUGCACCA